RNAcentral lists this ribosomal RNA (2217 nucleotides) under Eusirus giganteus. RNAcentral's name for it is "partial 18S ribosomal RNA". It matches the Rfam family "Eukaryotic small subunit ribosomal RNA". Lineage: Eukaryota; Metazoa; Arthropoda; Malacostraca; Amphipoda; Eusiridae. The record is from RNAcentral.
AAUCAGUCGUGGUCCUCAUGGGCUAGACAGUUAUCUUACUUGGAUAACUGUGGUAAUUCCAGAGCUAAUACAUGCAACUAUGAAAUCCCGAAUUGCUCGUCGUGUUUGUGCAUUCGUGUACGGCGCGGCUUCUCGCUACGACGGAUGCUUUUAUUAGACCAAACCGCUGAGAGAGUAGUGCAAUCAAGCGGGCGUCGUUCCGUAAAUGUGCGCGUUUCGGCGCGUGGAGCGUGCGUUCGUUGUGCCUCUCGUAGACUCGUGUUAUGGUGACUCUGGAUAACACUUUGACAAGCGCACGUAUCCAUUGAUUUGGGACGGCGCUGCCACUUUCGAGUGUCUGCCUUAUCAGCUAUGAAUCGUUCGUUAUGUGCUAGCGAUGGCUUUGACGGGUAACGGAGAAUCAGGGUUUGAUUCCGGAGAGGCAGCCUGAGAAACGGCUACCACGUCCAAGGACGGCAGCAGGCACGCAAAUUACCCAAUCCCAGCACCUGGGGGAGGUAGUGACGAAAUCUAACGAUGCGGGCGCCCCUUCUGGGGCCCCGCAAUCGGAAUGAGCAUUUUCUUUCCAAACACCCUGUUGAGAACCUACUGAAGGGCAAGUCUGGUGCCAGCAGCCGCGGUAAUUCCAGCUUCAGCAGCAUAUACUAAAGUUGCUGCGGUUAAAAGGCUCGCAGUUGAAUGUCAGUAUCAAGUGUAGCGAUGGUGGACGUUGGAGUGUGGGAGCGUGAGCCCGCAUGCCGCGGUGUCGUGCUUCGUCGUUUCGGCGGUGUUCGCGGUGUCCGUGUGUGCGCGGUGAGCCUCCCCACUUAUAACUCCCGUCCGUAACAAGCCUCCUCUCUUGCGUACAAAGUGAAAUCUAUCGGUGGAAACGCGAUUGAGGUGCCAUUCGUGAGGUGCUAUUCGGACGUGUGUGUGUGUGUGUUUCUCUGGGAUGUCGUUUCGGCGGUGUUUUGGGGUGCAUGUGUGUGCGCGCGCUUUGGGUUCACUUUGCGUUGGCGUUAAUAUCUCUUUCGCAUAUGAGAAUCUGGGUUUCAAAGUCACCUUGAGUAAAUCAGAGUGCUCAAAGCAGUCGUAAGGAAUGUGCGGCUCACGCCGUACGUUCUGCGAUGAAUGUCUUUAUUGACAGACAGUCUUGGUUUUGCAUGGUAUGUCGAAAGACGCUGUAAUAUACAAAUAUUCCUGUUGGUAACGAGUCUGGUGCGGGCUCGCGCACUAAUGGCAUGCAUGCUCACGAAGCGUUUGGCGUUCGCGUCUGCGUCUAGUGGUUUGUGUGUGUGUCGUACAUGCGCGACACAUGAGACCAACAAGUACGGAAUGAUUAAAAGGCACGGUCGAGGGCAUUGGUAUUGCGAGGCGAGAGGUGAAAGGAGCUUGCGGCUUAAUUUGACUCAACACGGGCCAUCUCACCAGGCCAGCACUCUUGUACGAUUGACAGAUUGAGAGUUCUUUCUCGAUUCAGUGGAUGGUGGUGCAUGGCCGUUCUUAGUUGGUGGAGUGAUCUGUCUGGUUAAUUCCGAUAACGAACGAGACUCUCCCCUGCUAACUAGACGGUUGGAUCUUGCGUCUGGAGAGUUGUGAGGUAUGCGAGUGCGCUCGUGCCCGUGUCUUUUCUGUGCUUUGCGCGCGUUUUCUUUCGGGAUUGCGUUGUGCGGGUGUGGGGGGGAUGCGUGUGUUGCGUGUGUAUCUCCGUGUAUCGAACACUCCAAGUCCACCGCUUAAUCAUGGGGCGAUGCGUAACAACAAAGUCCUAUGAAUGAUACUCUUCUUAGAGGGAUUCACGGUUCUGAAGCCGUAAGAGACUGAGAGCAAUAACAGGUCUGUGAUGCCCUUAGAUGUUCUGGGCCGCACGCGCGCUACAAUGCCGGGCACAGAAGGUAUUCAUCCUUAUCCGAGAGGAUUAGGUAACCCUUUGAAAGCCCUCUCUCAUUAUCAAAGGACUUACGUUCGCGCGCGCGUUCUGCGUGUGCGUGUUCGUUUGUUCUCCGUGGCUUGCUUGGGCCUGGGGCUUGCAAUUCUUUCCCACAAACGAGGAAUGCCUAGUAGCGGCGGGUCACAGAGCCCGCUGUGACUCAGUCCCUGCCCUUUGUACACACCGCCCGUCGCUACUACCGAUUGGGUGUACCAGUGAGAUCCUUGGACUGGCGAACCUUGCGCACAAGCAAUUUGAGUGCAAGCGUGUACGACGGAAAGAGGCUCGAACUGGGUGCACUUAGAGGA